GCUGAAUGCAAUCACUUGUUCAAAAGCAUAACCACAAUUUAAACAAAUAUAAAUUUCAGAUGAAAUUGUUGGAGAUGAAAGUGCAUACGAAACAUUGGAUGUUAGAUCUCUCGGUAAUAACAAGUAUGGUUCAGCAAACGUCCAAACAUCUGAAGAUAAAGCUUCUGAUGAAAAGGAGCAAUAUGUGAACAUGAUGAUUUAAGUCUUUGACGUGAACAUAACAUCAAAAAUCAUUAUGACAUCAUUGACGAUGAAGUGAAAAUUUUGUCUCUAGAUUUUGCAAUAAGUUGUACAUGCGCUGUGAUGGUGUUAUAUUUGAUGAAAUGACAGAUUUGAAGAAUAUAUUGUUCAAAACAAUUCUUUCUUAUGAUAAUUUAAUUAGUCUAAUACAUUCAUUAAUGUCCCAGAGAUAUUGUCCCAGUUUUAAUAAAUAGCCAAUUCGUCAACAAAAUCAGUUUGGCGUUAAAGAGUAAUUGACUAUAAAUGGCACAAUACUGUCUACAAAGAUUGUGUUGCUUACUUGUCUUUAUGUUUUGUAAUCCUUAAUACUCUGAAAAUCAUAUGUACUGUUUUACUGUAUAUAAUCCCUUUUAAAAUCUUAGAUAUAUGCAAGAGAGAAUAAAUAUACAUGUAUUAUA
This is a long non-coding RNA of Ruditapes philippinarum (Manila clam), 638 nucleotides long. RefSeq lists it as uncharacterized. The transcript is spliced from 3 exons. The record is from RefSeq and is a predicted model, not a curated record. NCBI's taxonomy places the organism in Eukaryota, Metazoa, Mollusca, Bivalvia, Venerida, Veneridae.